AUACGGAGGAUGCGAGCGUUAUCCGGAUUUAUUGGGUUUAAAGGGUGCGUAGGCUGUGCGUUAAGUCAGGGGUGAAAUGCCGUCGCUCAACGACGGAGCUGCCCUUGAUACUGGCGUGCUGGAGUACGGAUGCCGUUGGAGGAAUGAGUGGUGUAGCGGUGAAAUGCUUAGAUAUCACUCAGAACACCGAUUGCGAAGGCAUCUGACGAAUCCGUCACUGACGCUGAGGCACGAAAGCGUGGGGAUAGAACAGGAUUAGAUACCCUGGUAUUCCACGCCGUAAACGAUGAUGACUAACCGUCGGCGAUAGACAGCCGGUGGCCAAGCGAAAGCAAUAAGUGAUCCACCUGGGGAGUACGAUCGCAAGGUUGAAACUCAAAUGAAUUGGCGGGG
This 393-nucleotide ribosomal RNA is filed under the name uncultured bacterium. Its description in RNAcentral is "partial 16S ribosomal RNA". It matches the Rfam family "Bacterial small subunit ribosomal RNA", at positions 523 to 918 of the family's 1533-position model. The record is from RNAcentral.